This 225-nucleotide unclassified non-coding RNA is filed under the name Hevea brasiliensis (rubber tree). Lineage: Eukaryota; Viridiplantae; Streptophyta; Magnoliopsida; Malpighiales; Euphorbiaceae. The record is from RNAcentral.
UCUACACAACGUCGAAUGACAUCAGCUGCCGAGUCUAUUAUUUCUUUACUUAUUGGUCGCUCAUUGGCACGCAAUAAAUCUGCAGGGACUUCAUAUUUAUCACCAAAUUCCAAGUCAUCCUUUUGAUGGGUAUUAAGAACAUGGUUGAGCUUAUUAGCAAGAGUUUCAUCUUCUUCUGCGAUAUAACCACUAUAUACAUCAUCUUCAUCAUCUGUGCCAUAUUCU